This 700-nucleotide ribosomal RNA is filed under the name uncultured bacterium. Its description in RNAcentral is "bacterial SSU rRNA". It matches the Rfam family "Bacterial small subunit ribosomal RNA", at positions 89 to 775 of the family's 1533-position model. The record is from RNAcentral.
AAGCGAGCGGCGGAUGGGUGAGUAACACGUGGGGAACCUGCCCCUAAGUCUGGGAUACCAUUUGGAAACAGGUGCUAAUACCGGAUAAUAAAGCAGAUCGCAUGAUCAGCUUUUGAAAGGCGGCGUAAGCUGUCGCUAAGGGAUGGCCCCGCGGUGCAUUAGCUAGUUGGUAAGGUAACGGCUUACCAAGGCGACGAUGCAUAGCCGAGUUGAGAGACUGAUCGGCCACAUUGGGACUGAAACACGGCCCAAACUCCUACGGGAGGCAGCAGUAGGGAAUCUUCCACAAUGGACGCAAGUCUGAUGGAGCAACGCCGCGUGAGUGAAGAAGGUUUUCGGAUCGUAAAGCUCUGUUGUUGGUGAAGAAGGAUAGAGGUAGUAACUGGCCUUUAUUUGACGGUAAUCAACCAGAAAGUCACGGCUAACUACGUGCCAGCAGCCGCGGUAAUACGUAGGUGGCAAGCGUUGUCCGGAUUUAUUGGGCGUAAAGCGAGCGCAGGCGGAAAAAUAAGUCUAAUGUGAAAGCCCUCGGCUUAACCGAGGAACUGCAUCGGAAACUGUUUUUCUUGAGUGCAGAACAGGAGAGUGGAACUCCAUGUGUACCGGUGGAAUGCGUAGAUAUAUGGAAGAACACCAGUGGCGAACGCGGCUCUCUGGUCUGCAACUGACGCUGAGGCUCGAAAGCAUGGGUAGCGAACAG